GUUGAACGAAGUUUAGCUACAUAGUUCAAAUUUGGUGCUUAGUGAAAAAAAAAAUCCAACAGAUCUUCACUUUCCCAAACAGGAACUACAAGAGACAAUCGGACACUGUUUGUAGCAGUGAUAUUAUACUGAAUAAUAACCUGAUGAACAGGCUUUACUUAAACGGACAGUAUAGUCGACAAAACUAUAAUGCUUAAUGAAGCAGUUUUGGUGCAUAGAUAAUGCCCUCACAGUCUCACUGCUUAAUUCUCUGCCAUUUAAGAGUUACAUCACUUUGUUUAUGCAACCCUAGUCACACCUCCUUGCAUGUGACUUGCACAUUCUUCCUAAACACUUCCUGUAAAGUCAUCUAAUGUUUACACUUCUU
Pelobates cultripes (western spadefoot toad) is the source of this 367-nucleotide non-coding RNA. The record is from the annotation of a GenBank genome assembly. Lineage: Eukaryota; Metazoa; Chordata; Amphibia; Anura; Pelobatidae.